This 451-nucleotide ribosomal RNA is filed under the name Streptococcus sanguinis. Its description in RNAcentral is "bacterial SSU rRNA". It matches the Rfam family "Bacterial small subunit ribosomal RNA", at positions 28 to 463 of the family's 1533-position model. Lineage: Bacteria; Bacillati; Bacillota; Bacilli; Lactobacillales; Streptococcaceae. The record is from RNAcentral.
GACGAACGCUGGCGGCGUGCCUAAUACAUGCAAGUAGAACGCUGAAGAGAGGAGCUUGCUCUUCUUGGAUGAGUUGCGAACGGGUGAGUAACGCGUAGGUAACCUGCCUGGUAGCGGGGGAUAACUAUUGGAAACGAUAGCUAAUACCGCAUAAAAUUGAUUAUUGCAUGAUAAUUAAUUGAAAGAUGCAAUUGCAUCACUACCAGAUGGACCUGCGUUGUAUUAGCUAGUUGGUGAGGUAACGGCUCACCAAGGCGACGAUACAUAGCCGACCUGAGAGGGUGAUCGGCCACACUGGGACUGAGACACGGCCCAGACUCCUACGGGAGGCAGCAGUAGGGAAUCUUCGGCAAUGGGGGGAACCCUGACCGAGCAACGCCGCGUGAGUGAAGAAGGUUUUCGGAUCGUAAAGCUCUGUUGUAAGAGAAGAACGGGUGUGAGAGUGGAAAGU